UUUUCUGUCUCAUCAGUCAUCUCUCUUCUUGAUUAUCUCCCAGACUCCCUUUCUCUACAACCCAUAACCUAACCCUUCAUCUCUCUCUUAUUUUCUGUCUCGUCUCUCUCCACAACUCAUAACCUACCUAAUCAUUUAUCCCUCUCAUUUUUUCUAUCUCAUCUCUCUCGUAUUCUCUCUCUCUCUCUCUCUCUCUCUCUCUCUCUCUCUCUCUCUCUCUCUCUCUCUCUACAACCCAGAAACCACCUAACAUUUCCUUCCACCCAAUCCAAAACCAAGCCAAACAUCCCUACUCACUCUCUCUCAUUUCAUUUCGCCUCUCAUCUGCCUUCACUCAGUCUCAGACUCUCCCUCUCUUUCUCGGAUUUGAAGCUUAGCAGCCACCCACCGUCUAGCAAUCUGACUCCGACGAACUAUCUCCACUCCGGCCACCACCACACCUCAUGGCUUCAUCCCCACCUCCGGUUCUCUCCAGUGAUUCUCUGUGUGUGUGGGAUUUCAAAUUGAGGUUAGGGUUUUGAAUUGGGGCUUAGGGUUUCGAAUUGGGGGCUCGGGUCAGGAGGAGGUCCCUCUCUUCACUCUGCUUCUUUCUCGACCAUAAAUCUUUCACUGAUUCACUAUCACUAUGUCUCUGAUUUCAAUUUGGAUUUUUAAUGCAGGUUCGGAUGAUUUCAAUAUUAAUCUAAGACGAUUUGGAUUCUGAUGAUGUUCGGUUUCGGGAAAUUCCGAAAUACCGAAAAUAUUUCGGGAAUCCCGAAAUUUGGGAAUCCGAAAUUUCGGUUCGGGAUCGGUCAUGAGAUUUACGUCCCGAAAAUUUUCGGUUCGGGAUUUGAUAUGCCAUUUUUGGUUCGGUAUCCCAUACCGAACCAGCCCUAAU
RNAcentral lists this long non-coding RNA (877 nucleotides) under Malus domestica (apple). RNAcentral describes it as "long non-coding RNA (MDOM_LNC001120)". Lineage: Eukaryota; Viridiplantae; Streptophyta; Magnoliopsida; Rosales; Rosaceae. The record is from RNAcentral.